UUCCAAUAGCCAAUGAUAGAGACCACCACUGAAACCAUUAUUCUAUGAGUAUAAUUUUAAGUUUUCUCUAGCUCUUAAUCAGGGCUUGACCCCCCAAAAUACUGGAAUCUACCAGAUUCAUAUUAAGAUAAUGAGAAAAAACAAGGGAGAUUAAAUUAUAGCCUAGGGGAACUGGGACAAAGCUGGAGAGUCAUUUGGGAAUCCUGGGAAAGCAUCAGAAUCUCUGUUAGGUAUUUUUAAAUAAAAAAAAUACCUAAGAAAACAGUGAGAUAAGACCUAAGAGUCUAUCACUCUACCCAACAAAAGCCAGGAGAUAAGUAAAUAAGUAAGUAAGUAAAAAAAUAAAUAGGAACUAAAAAUCCCGACUGAAUCAAGGACGCUUUGUCCUACCUAGAGCUGCCAGGAACUCGUGACAUCCUGGGAGCCGCCACAGCUGGACACUGAUGGAGACCUGGAUGGGAGCCGACGCAAAAUCCUGCUCCUUCUCGCCAGCCUGGAGCUGGACCAGCACCUGGUGGAGCUGAGCAAGGCAGACAGACAGCUCAGAUUUCCAGCCCUCCUGGGUUCAAGAUGUUUGGAUAUGCUUUGUUCUGGAAGUGUCUUCCUGAUGUUAUUCAAAAAGCCGACAUAACACACUGACUACAAAGUGAGUGGGAGCUCAGUGGAGGGGCAGUCGCUGAGUGGAGCCACGUUUCCCAAACCCCUGGUCGAGGAGGGCCGGGGGAGCCACUCUAGGUUCAGAGGUUCCUCUGCGGGGGAGCAGUGGUAUUUCCACAUAGAAAAUUCUCUGCCUGAAAUAAAGCCUGCAGACAUAUCUUUAA
Molecule: long non-coding RNA, 821 nt
Organism: Choloepus didactylus (southern two-toed sloth)
Lineage: Eukaryota; Metazoa; Chordata; Mammalia; Pilosa; Megalonychidae
Exons: 2
Source: RefSeq, a predicted model, not a curated record